RNAcentral lists this long non-coding RNA (628 nucleotides) under Homo sapiens (human). RNAcentral describes it as "HSALNT0328936". Lineage: Eukaryota; Metazoa; Chordata; Mammalia; Primates; Hominidae. The record is from RNAcentral.
GCAGACGCAGCGUCGCAACCUCGGCAGCCCACCCCACCCCACCCCACUCAACCGGGCCCGCCGCGGCGCCCAGGCGGCAGGCAGCAAGGACAGCCUUGUGCGAGCCCGAUCUGGGCCUUCCUGGGCGCGGCUACCGCAAGAGCUUAACGGAUCAGCUACCUGGGGCUCUCCCGUAGGAUCAGCGCCGCGGGGACCGCCAUCUUCGGCUUUCUCGCACUGCCGCCGUCUGUUAGCUGCGCCGAACCCAGCCAAUGGCGGCCGCGGCGGACGGAAAGCCGGAAGGCCCAAGCCGCGCAGGGGCCGUUUUAGGGCUCCGGGUCUCCUGCGACCCGGGCGCCGGGAGACUUGUCCCGCAGUCCUGGAGGGCGGAGAGGGCAGCCCAGUUGCCCUCCCGACACUCCAAUCGUGUUGGAGUUAAGUCUGUGCAUAUAUAUGUCUUUAUAUUUAUAUAUUAUAUAUGUAUGUACAUACCUGGAUAGGGGUGUGUGUCUGUAUUUAAUAGGGCAGGUUUAAGCAAGUCUAUGUACAGACCUGUAUAGAUAUAUGUGUGUAUGUUCGUGCAUAAAUAUAUACAUUAUUAUUUUUAAUAGGGCAGGUUUAAGCAAGCCCGUGUAUACAUACUUGGAUA